RNAcentral lists this long non-coding RNA (201 nucleotides) under Fukomys damarensis (Damara mole-rat). Its description in RNAcentral is "lncRNA (ENSFDAG00000031732.1)". The record is from RNAcentral. Lineage: Eukaryota; Metazoa; Chordata; Mammalia; Rodentia; Bathyergidae.
GUGGAGAGAUGAUCUGUGUUCCUCAGUGCAGCGCCGCCUUCUAAAUCCUUGCCUGCCAAGAAGAGAUGCUCAGUAAACAUUUGUGGAGUGCUGAGCAGCUUCCUUUUAUAGAAACAGAAGAAACUUUCAGAAAUAACAAGCUGGACUUAACUUUGACUUUACACUUUUGAUGCUGCUGACCUGACACUCAAACUGAGGGCA